This 1418-nucleotide long non-coding RNA is filed under the name Malus domestica (apple). RNAcentral describes it as "long non-coding RNA (MDOM_LNC020432)". The record is from RNAcentral. Lineage: Eukaryota; Viridiplantae; Streptophyta; Magnoliopsida; Rosales; Rosaceae.
ACAUUGAGUGUAUAUAUGAUAUAUACUCAAGGAAAUGGUAAAGUACCAUUUGACCCGAAAUAAUGAAACCUUUAUAAGCUAAUUGGUAGCUUAAGGUCACUACAAUCAAAGAGAAUGGUUGACUUUUGAAGAAACCAUCUUUGAGAUAGUCUUGGUUUCAAUUAAUUCGAAGAUUGCUAGCUACAACUAAAUGGUGAUUCAAUGUUUGGACAUAAUAUGGGUUUUACGAAACCAUUAUUAAGAUAGUCUUGAUACUAUAUGUCUAAAACUUUGAAUCACAAGACAUGUAAGUUGUAUAGAUCCAUCCAUCAUGGAUCUUAGCAAGCUAGUGGGAGCUAUAAGCGUCUUAUGAGAGAAAGGUCAAAUCGUUUGAUUUCUCAUAAAGAUGUAAAUGAAUCUUUUGUUUACUAGGUUUACAAAAGAUUAGUGGGAGUUAAUCAUAUUCCUAAAUUUGUAUAUAUAUAUAUAUAAAUAUAUAUGUGAUAUAUAUGAAUAUUAUAUAUAUAUUAAUUUUGGAAAAGAAAAGAAUAUUUCUUUGUUAAAGUUAUGACUUUAAGCAUUCUAUAACGAUAGAAUGUAUAUAGGAGACAUAGUCUAUGAACAUGGGAUGGAAAUCUAUAAUGAUAGAUUUUAGGAUAUAAUUGGAUUAUAUCAAGCCCUAAAUAAUAGACAAGAGAUGCUAGGAAGUUUCUCAUAUGAUGAUAAACUUCAAUCAAAUGGACAACUCUAGUAAGACUAAGAAGUUGCUCUUCUCAAAGGGAACGUGCCCUUUUGACUCCCAAAGAAAUAAUGCGUAAAUAGAAUCCUUUAUGCAUACGCAUAAAGGUGAUUUAUGUAUUUCAUAUUGUAUGAAAAAUAUUGAUAUGACUUGUACCUAGAACGGUACAAGACGAUAUCAGUGUAAGCCCAGGAUCAGAACCAUGGCAACUGUCAAGUGAGUCCUUAAGUAUUUAAGAAAUACUAAAGGAUAGAUUCCUCAAAGAUCGAGGAAGAAUUAGAGUAACGUAAUGGAAGCGUAAAUGUAUUAGAUUAUGAAUCUAAUCCAUCAUUGGAUGUUUCUUCAUUAUGAAUGAAGAGAUACACGGAUAUCUCUUUAUUAUGACUAAAGAGAUAUUUGGAUGGAAACAUUAAAGUAAUGACUUUAGUGUGUUCCAUUAUGAAUGCAAAAUAUAUUGCCAUAUAGAAGCUUAUAACAAUGUUGUUUGGAUGAGAAAGUUCAUUUAUGAACUCUCUAUUCGGUUCCAACCAGAAAGUGUAUCUAGUGUACUGACACUAUGACACUAAUGGGGCGAUAGCUCAAGCCAGGGAAUCAAGGUCUCAUCAAGGUCCGAACACAAAUGAGAAACUGAACCACAUGAUUGAGAAUCAUGUAUAAUGGUGACGUCGUUAUUCUCAAGGUUGCUUCUAUGGAUAACAUA